GACGAACGCUGGCGGCGUGCUUAACACAUGCAAGUCGAGCGGUAAGGCCCUUUCGGGGGUACGACGAGCGGCGAACGGGUGAGUAACACGUGGGUGACCUGCCCUCAGCUCUGGGAUAAGCCUGGGGAAACGUAGGGUCUAAUAACUGGAUAUGACUCCACGGUGCAUGUCGUGGGGUGGAAAGCCUUGUGCGGCUGAGGAUGGGCCCGCGGCCUAUCAGCUUGUUGGUGGGGGUGAGGCCUACCAAGGCGACGACGGGUAGCCGGCCUGAGAGGGCGACCGGCCACACUGGGACUGAGACACGGCCCAGACUCCUACGGGAGGCAGCAGUGGGGAAUCUUGCGCAAUGGGCGAAAGCCUGACGCAGCGACGCCGCGUGAGGGAUGACGGCC
RNAcentral lists this ribosomal RNA (392 nucleotides) under uncultured bacterium. Its description in RNAcentral is "bacterial SSU rRNA". It matches the Rfam family "Bacterial small subunit ribosomal RNA", at positions 28 to 416 of the family's 1533-position model. The record is from RNAcentral.